UGGUGCAUAGACAAAAACAAAUAACCUAUCUGAACAGCGGGGAACAAAAAUUUACAUAAACAGAAGGGGAAAUAGAGGGUUUAUAAUAAAUAAUCUAGUUCCUCUUCAGUUACUGAAACAGAGGGGGAUCUAGUCUCCACUUUGAUAGUGUCUAGUUCCCCUUCCGUAAAAACGUACAUAAACAGAAGAGGAAAUAGAAGGCUCAUACUAAAUAGUCUAGUUCCUCUUCAGUUACUGAAACAGAGGGGGAUCUAGUCUCUACCCUGCAGACACCUGGGGUUUGCACAGGGAUAAGAGACACACGAUGGCAGGGUACACCUCCCCCCUGUGCACAAGCAGUAUAGGUGAUGUCAGAUUUAUGUGAAGCAGUCUUCCAAAUACACAGCAAAGAAAGAAGGGCACAACAAAGUGACCCCCUGGCGCUGAUUGGCAAAUGUUAGUGGCAGCAAACAGCCAGCUGGAGACUUUGGAGAAGUGCUGACCUCUGCUGCCAACGCCAGUGCUACAGAAGACCUGACAGAAAAGGAUCUCGAAACCCAGUGAAAUCACCAUUGUAUUCAGCCAACACUCAAAGAUGCUGCAAGAAAAUUGAAAGCACACCCAGAGCGCCCUCUUGUGUUCCCAAUGGACAUAUCCCAUGUCUUUAGUUCUCUUUGCCUUGUGUUUUACAUUUGACAUGUACUCAUCACCUAUUCUCAAUAGAGGCAGGUAUCUGUCAAUUCACUUAAUAUAUAUUAUCAGUGUUAA
This is a long non-coding RNA of Pseudophryne corroboree (corroboree frog), 747 nucleotides long. RefSeq lists it as uncharacterized. Lineage: Eukaryota; Metazoa; Chordata; Amphibia; Anura; Myobatrachidae. The transcript is spliced from 2 exons. The record is from RefSeq and is a predicted model, not a curated record.